ACUCCUACGGGAGGCAGCAGUGGGGAAUAUUGCACAAUGGGCGCAAGCCUGAUGCAGCCAUGCCGCGUGUGUGAAGAAGGCCUUCGGGUUGUAAAGCACUUUCAGUCGUGAGGAAGGUAGUGUAGUUAAUAGCUGCAUUAUUUAACGUUAGCGACAGAAGAAGCACCGGCUAACUCCGUGCCAGCAGCCGCGGUAAUACGGAGGGUGCGAGCGUUAAUCGGAAUUACUGGGCGUAAAGCGCAUGCAGGUGGUUUGUUAAGUCAGAUGUGAAAGCCCGGGGCUCAACCUCGGAAUAGCAUUUGAAACUGGCAGACUAGAGUACUGUAGAGGGGGGUAGAAGUUUCAGGUGUAGCGGUGAAAUGCGUAGAGAUCUGAAGGAAUACCGGUGGCGAAGGCGGCCCCCUGGACAGAUACUGACACUCAGAUGCGAAAGCGUGGGGAGCAAACAGGAUUAGAUACCCUGGUAGGAUAGCG
This 474-nucleotide ribosomal RNA is filed under the name uncultured bacterium. RNAcentral's name for it is "bacterial SSU rRNA". It matches the Rfam family "Bacterial small subunit ribosomal RNA", at positions 335 to 799 of the family's 1533-position model. The record is from RNAcentral.